CCCCCAGACUCCUACGGGAGGCAGCAGUAGGGAAUAUUGCUCAAUGGGGGGAACCCUGAUGCAGCGACGCCGCGUGGGUGAAGGAGCACCUCGGUGCGUAAAGCCCUAUCGGCAGGGAAGAAACAGACGGUACCUGACUAAGAAGCCCCGGCUAACUACGUGCCAGCAGCCGCGGGAAUACGUAGGGGGCAAGCGUUAUCCGGAGUGACUGGGUGUAAAGAGUUGCGUAGGUGGCAUAAUAAGUAGCUAGUGAAAUCUGGUGGCUCAACCAUUCAGACUAUUAGCUAAACUGUUAAGCUCGAGACCGUUAGGGGUAACUGGAAUUUCUAGUGUAGGGUUGAAAUCCGUAGAUAUUAGAAGGAACACCAAUAGCGUAGGCAGGUUACUGGGACGGUUCUGGCACUAAGGCACGAAAGCGUAGGGAGCAAACGGGAUUAGAUACCCUGGUAA
Molecule: ribosomal RNA, 450 nt
Filed under: uncultured bacterium
Lineage: Bacteria
Description: bacterial SSU rRNA
Rfam family: Bacterial small subunit ribosomal RNA
Source: RNAcentral